AUUGAACGCUGGCGGCAUGCUUUACACAUGCAAGUCGAACGGUAACAGGCCUUCGGGUGCUGACGAGUGGCGAACGGGUGAGUAAUGCAUCGGAACGUGCCCAAUCGUGGGGGAUAACGUAGCGAAAGUUACGCUAAUACCGCAUAAGCCCUGAGGGGGAAAGCAGGGGGAUCGCAAGACCUUGCGCGAAUGGAGCGGCCGAUGUCAGAUUAGCUAGUUGGUGGGGGUAAAAGCCGUACCAAGGCGACGAUCUGUAGCGGGUCUGAGAGGAUGAUCCGCCACACUGGGACUGAGACACGGCCCAGACUCCUACGGGAGGCAGCAGUGGGGAAUUUUGGACAAUGGGCGCAAGCCUGAUCCAGCCAUGCCGCGUGC
Molecule: ribosomal RNA, 375 nt
Filed under: uncultured bacterium
Lineage: Bacteria
Description: bacterial SSU rRNA
Rfam family: Bacterial small subunit ribosomal RNA
Source: RNAcentral